RNAcentral lists this ribosomal RNA (425 nucleotides) under uncultured bacterium. Its description in RNAcentral is "partial 16S ribosomal RNA". It matches the Rfam family "Bacterial small subunit ribosomal RNA", at positions 354 to 796 of the family's 1533-position model. The record is from RNAcentral.
GUGGGGAAUAUUGCACAAUGGGGGAAACCCUGAUGCAGCAACGCCGCGUGAGUGAUGAAGGUCUUCGGAUUGUAAAACUCUGUCUUUGGGGACGAUAAUGACGGUACCCAAGGAGGAAGCCACGGCUAACUACGUGCCAGCAGCCGCGGUAAUACGUAGGUGGCAAGCGUUGUCCGGAUUUACUGGGCGUAAAGGGAGCGUAGGCGGAUUUUUAAGUGGGAUGUGAAAUACCCGGGCUUAACCUGGGUGCUGCAUUCCAAACUGGAAGUCUAGAGUACAGGAGGGGAAAGUGGAAUUCCUAGUGUAGCGGUGAAAUGCGUAGAGAUUAGGAAGAACACCGGUGGCGAAGGCGACUUUCUGGACUGUAACUGACGCUGAGGCACGAAAGCGUGGGGAGCAAACAGGAUUAGAUACCCGUGUAGUCC